RNAcentral lists this transfer RNA (72 nucleotides) under Chelonia mydas (Green sea turtle). It matches the Rfam family "tRNA". From Rfam's summary of the family: Transfer RNA (tRNA) molecules are approximately 80 nucleotides in length. Lineage: Eukaryota; Metazoa; Chordata; Testudines; Cheloniidae. The record is from Rfam by way of RNAcentral.
GGAAGAAUGGUCCAGCAGUUAGGGCACUCACCUGGGAUUUGGGAGACCUGAGUUUGAGUCCCUGCUCUGCCA